Molecule: ribosomal RNA, 471 nt
Filed under: uncultured bacterium
Lineage: Bacteria
Description: bacterial SSU rRNA
Rfam family: Bacterial small subunit ribosomal RNA
Source: RNAcentral
ACUCCUACGGGAGGCAGCAGUGGGGAAUAUUGCACAAUGGGGGAAACCCUGAUGCAGCCAUGCCGCGUGUGUGAAGAAGGCCUCGGGUUGUAAAGCACUUUCAGUAGGGAGGAAGGUAGUGUAGUUAACACCUGCACUAUUUGACGUUACCUACAGAAGAAGCACCGGCUAACUCCGUGCCAGCAGCCGCGGUAAUACGGAGGGUGCGAGCGUUAAUCGGAAUUACUGGGCGUAAAGCGCAUGCAGGCGGCCUGUUAAGUCAGAUGUGAAAGCCCGGGGCUUAACCUCGGAAUUGCAUUUGAAACUGGCAGGCUAGAGUCUUGUAGAGGGGGGUAGAAUUUCAGGUGUAGCGGUGAAAUGCGUAGAGAUCUGAAGGAAUACCAGUGGCGAAGGCGGCCCCCUGGACAAAGACUGACGCUCAGAUGCGAAAGCUGGGGAGCAAACAGGAUUAGAUACCCUGGGAGCACAGAG